UCCACAUACAUUUCAUAAUUUUGUUAAAAAUUUUUACUCAUUAAUGCUUUUCUUGAUCGAUUCAUAAUUUUGUUAAAAAAUUUUACUUAUUAAUGCUUUUCUUGAUCGAUACAAGGAGCUAGGUAACUUUCCACCACAUUGAAACUUAGCUGUUGGGUUUUUGUGGCCAUUAAAGACUUUAUGAGAGCUUUGAUACCAACUGAAAGUUGGACUAUUCAACCCAAGCAAGUGUAUACCAAGUAAAAAGUUUUCUUUUUCUUAUUUGCACUACCUGGAUUACUUACAGAUGUCCAAAUACAUAAUAAGAAACAACAAAAAUACUAUGAAUCUCAAAGACUCCCACUUACUGUCACUUUAAUAAUUGUUUUAUUAUACAAAUAAAAUUGCAUACA
Molecule: long non-coding RNA, 392 nt
Filed under: Amborella trichopoda
Lineage: Eukaryota; Viridiplantae; Streptophyta; Magnoliopsida; Amborellales; Amborellaceae
Description: long non-coding RNA (ATRI_LNC003863)
Source: RNAcentral